This 496-nucleotide ribosomal RNA is filed under the name uncultured bacterium. RNAcentral's name for it is "partial 16S ribosomal RNA". It matches the Rfam family "Bacterial small subunit ribosomal RNA", at positions 29 to 507 of the family's 1533-position model. The record is from RNAcentral.
AUGAACGCUGGCGGCGUGCCUAAUACAUGCAAGUCGAGCGAACAGACGAGGAGCUUGCUCCUCUGACGUUAGCGGCGGACGGGUGAGUAACACGUGGAUAACCUACCUAUAAGACUGGGAUAACUUCGGGAAACCGGAGCUAAUACCGGAUAAUAUAUUGAACCGCCUGGUUCAAUAGUGAAAGACGGUUUUGCUGUCACUUAUAGAUGGAUCCGCGCCGCAUUAGCUAGUUGGUAAGGUAACGGCUUACCAAGGCAACGAUGCGUAGCCGACCUGAGAGGGUGAUCGGCCACACUGGAACUGAGACACGGUCCAGACUCCUACGGGAGGCAGCAGUAGGGAAUCUUCCGCAAUGGGCGAAAGCUUGACGGAGCAACGCCGCGUGAGUGAUGAAGGUCUUCGGAUCGUAAAACUCUGUUAUUAGGGAAGAACAAAUGUGUAAGUAACUAUGCACGUCUUGACGGUACCUAAUCAGAAAGCCACGGCUAACUACGUG